ACGUAGGUGGCAAGCGUUAUCCGGAUUUAUUGGGCGUAAAGCGAGCGCAGGCGGUUGCUUAGGUCUGAUGUGAAAGCCUUCGGCUUAACCGAAGAAGUGCAUCGGAAACCGGGCGACUUGAGUGCAGAAGAGGACAGUGGAACUCCAUGUGUAGCGGUGGAAUGCGUAGAUAUAUGGAAGAACACCAGUGGCGAAGGCGGCUGUCUGGUCUGCAACUGACGCUGAGGCUCGAAAGCAUGGGUAGCGAACAG
Molecule: ribosomal RNA, 251 nt
Filed under: uncultured bacterium
Lineage: Bacteria
Description: partial 16S ribosomal RNA
Rfam family: Bacterial small subunit ribosomal RNA
Source: RNAcentral